RNAcentral lists this ribosomal RNA (791 nucleotides) under uncultured bacterium. Its description in RNAcentral is "bacterial SSU rRNA". It matches the Rfam family "Bacterial small subunit ribosomal RNA", at positions 8 to 796 of the family's 1533-position model. The record is from RNAcentral.
AGAGUUUGAUCAUGGCUCAGAUUGAACGCUGGCGGCAUGCUUUACACAUGCAAGUCGAACGCGAAAGCGGGGGCAACCCGCGAGUAGAGUGGCGAACGGGUGAGUAAUACAUCGGAACGCGCCCUUUAGUGGGGGACAACGCCGAGAAAUCGGCGCUAAUACCGCAUACGCCCGAAAGGGGAAAGCGGGGGACCGCAAGGCCUCGCGCUGUUGGAGCGGCCGAUGCCCGAUUAGCUAGUUGGUGGGGUAAUGGCCCACCAAGGCUACGAUCGGUAGCUGGUCUGAGAGGAUGAUCAGCCACACUGGGACUGAGACACGGCCCAGACUCCUACGGGAGGCAGCAGUGGGGAAUUUUGGACAAUGGGGGCAACCCUGAUCCAGCCAUGCCGCGAGUGAAGAAGGCCUUCGGGUUGUAAAGCUCUUUCGGCCGGAACGAAAUCGCGCGGGCGAACAAUCCGCGUGGAUGACGGUACCGGAAUAAGAAGCACCGGCUAACUACGUGCCAGCAGCCGCGGUAAUACGUAGGGUGCAAGCGUUAAUCGGAAUUACUGGGCGUAAAGCGUGCGCAGGCGGUCGCGUAAGCCAGAUGUGAAAGCCCCGGGCUUAACCUGGGAAUUGCAUUUGGUACUGCGUGGCUAGAGUGCGGCAGAGGGAGGUGGAAUUCCUGGUGUAGCAGUGAAAUGCGUAGAGAUCAGGAGGAACACCGAUGGCGAAGGCAGCCUCCUGGGCCAGCACUGACGCUCAUGCACGAAAGCGUGGGGAGCAAACAGGAUUAGAUACCCUAGUAGUCC